GACGAACGCUGGCGGCGUGCUUAACACAUGCAAGUCGAACGGAAAGGCCCUGCUUUUGUGGGGUGCUCGAGUGGCGAACAGGUGAGUAACACGUGAGUAACCUGCCCUUGACUUUGGGAUAACUUCAGGAAACUGGGGCUAAUACCGGAUAGGAGCUCCUGCUGCAUGGUGGGGGUUGGAAAGUUUCGGCGGUUGGGGAUGGACUCGCGGCUUAUCAGCUUGUUGGUGGGGUAGUGGCUUACCAAGGCUUUGACGGGUAGCCGGCCUGAGAGGGUGACCGGCCACAUUGGGACUGAGAUACGGCCCAGACUCCUACGGGAGGCAGCAGUGGGGAAUAUUGCACAAUGGGCGGAAGCCUGAUGCAGCAACGCCGCGUGCGGGAUGACGGCCUUCGGGUUGUAAACCGCUUUCGCCUGUGACGAAGCGUGAGUGACGGUAAUGGGUAAAGAAGCACCGGCUAACUACGU
RNAcentral lists this ribosomal RNA (467 nucleotides) under uncultured bacterium. RNAcentral's name for it is "partial 16S ribosomal RNA". It matches the Rfam family "Bacterial small subunit ribosomal RNA", at positions 28 to 506 of the family's 1533-position model. The record is from RNAcentral.